This 468-nucleotide ribosomal RNA is filed under the name uncultured bacterium. Its description in RNAcentral is "partial 16S ribosomal RNA". It matches the Rfam family "Bacterial small subunit ribosomal RNA", at positions 28 to 507 of the family's 1533-position model. The record is from RNAcentral.
GACGAACGCUGGCGGCGUGCUUAACACAUGCAAGUCGAACGGAAAGGCCCUGCUUUUGUGGGGUGCUCGAGUGGCGAACGGGUGAGUAACACGUGAGUAACCUGCCCUUGACUUUGGGAUAACUUCAGGAAACUGGGGCUAAUACCGGAUAGGAGCUCCUGCUGCAUGGUGGGGGUUGGAAAGUUUCGGCGGUUGGGGAUGGACUCGCGGCUUAUCAGCUUGUUGGUGGGGUAGUGGCUUACCAAGGCUUUGACGGGUAGCCGGCCUGAGAGGGUGACCGGCAAGAUGGGGGGAGAGAUACGGCCGGGACGGCGACGGGAGGCAGCAGUGGGGAAUGUUGGACAAUGGGAGGGAGUGUGAUGCAGCAACGCGGCGGGGGGGAUGACGGCCUUCGGGUAGUAGAACGCGUCCGCCUGGGACGCAGCGUGAGUGACGGUGAUGUGUAAAGAAGCACCGGCUAACUACGUG